CAGCCGCCGCGGUAAUACGUAGGGUGCAAGCGUUAAUCGGAAUUACUGGGCGUAAAGCGUGCGCAGGCGGUUUUGUAAGACAGUGGUGAAAUCCCCGGGCUCAACCUGGGAACUGCCAUUGUGACUGCAAGGCUAGAGUGCGGCAGAGGGGGAUGGAAUUCCGCGUGUAGCAGUGAAAUGCGUAGAUAUGCGGAGGAACACCGAUGGCGAAGGCAAUCCCCUGGGCCUGCACUGACGCUCAUGCACGAAAGCGUGGGGAGCAAACAGGAUUAGAUACCCUGGUAGUCAAGGGCG
RNAcentral lists this ribosomal RNA (294 nucleotides) under uncultured Burkholderiales bacterium. RNAcentral's name for it is "partial 16S ribosomal RNA". It matches the Rfam family "Bacterial small subunit ribosomal RNA", at positions 509 to 802 of the family's 1533-position model. The record is from RNAcentral. Lineage: Bacteria; Pseudomonadati; Pseudomonadota; Betaproteobacteria; Burkholderiales.